UACGUAGGGGGCAAGCGUUGUCCGGAUUUACUGGGCGUAAAGAGCGUGUAGGCGGCCAUGCAGGUCCGUUGUGAAAACUGGAGGCUUAACCUCCAGACGUCGACGGAAACCGCGUGGCUAGAGUCCGGAAGAGGAGAGUGGAAUUCCUGGUGUAGCGGUGAAAUGCGCAGAUAUCAGGAAGAACACCCGUGGCGAAAGCGGCUCUCUGGAACGGUACUGACGCUGAGACGCGAAAGCGUGGGGAGCGAACAGG
This 253-nucleotide ribosomal RNA is filed under the name uncultured bacterium. Its description in RNAcentral is "partial 16S ribosomal RNA". It matches the Rfam family "Bacterial small subunit ribosomal RNA", at positions 524 to 776 of the family's 1533-position model. The record is from RNAcentral.